RNAcentral lists this ribosomal RNA (443 nucleotides) under uncultured bacterium. RNAcentral's name for it is "partial 16S ribosomal RNA". It matches the Rfam family "Bacterial small subunit ribosomal RNA", at positions 338 to 795 of the family's 1533-position model. The record is from RNAcentral.
CCUACGGGUGGCAGCAGUGGGGAAUAUUGGGCAAUGGAGGAAACUCUGACCCAGCAACGCCGCGUGAAUGAUGAAGGUCUUCGGAUUGUAAAGUUCUUUUUUAAGGGAAGAAGAAAGUGACGGUACCUUCGGAAUAAGCCUCGGCUAACUACGGGCCAGCAGCCGCGGUAAUACGUAGGAGGCAAGCGUUAUCCGGAAUGACUGGGCGUAAGGGGUGCGUAGGUGGUUUGACAAGUUGGUAGCGUAACUCCGGGGCUCAACCUCGGCACUGCUACCAAAACUGUCGGACUUGAGUGCAGGAGGGGCAGGUGGAAUUCCUGGUGUAGCGGUGAAAUGCGUAGAGAUCAGGAGGAACACCGGUGGCGAAGGCGAUUUGCUGGACUGCAACUGACGCUGAGGCACGAAAGCGUGGGGAGCAAACAGGAUUAGAUACCCCAGUAGUC